RNAcentral lists this ribosomal RNA (439 nucleotides) under uncultured Aquamicrobium sp. RNAcentral describes it as "bacterial SSU rRNA". It matches the Rfam family "Bacterial small subunit ribosomal RNA", at positions 53 to 540 of the family's 1533-position model. The record is from RNAcentral. Lineage: Bacteria; Pseudomonadati; Pseudomonadota; Alphaproteobacteria; Hyphomicrobiales; Phyllobacteriaceae.
CCAUGCAAGUCGAGCGCCCCGCAAGGGGAGCGGCAGACGGGUGAGUAACGCGUGGGAAUCUACCCAUCCCUACGGAAUAACCCAGGGAAACUUGGACUAAUACCGUAUACGACCGAGAGGUGAAAGAUUUAUCGGGGAUGGAUGAGCCCGCGUUGGAUUAGCUAGUUGGUGAGGUAAAGGCUCACCAAGGCGACGAUCCAUAGCUGGUCUGAGAGGAUGAUCAGCCACACUGGGACUGAGACACGGCCCAGACUCCUACGGGAGGCAGCAGUGGGGAAUAUUGGACAAUGGGCGCAAGCCUGAUCCAGCCAUGCCGCGUGAGUGAUGAAGGCCCUAGGGUUGUAAAGCUCUUUCACCGGUGAAGAUAAUGACGGUAGCCGGAGAAGAAGCCCCGGCUAACUUCGUGCCAGCAGCCGCGGUAAUACGAAGGGGGCUAGCG